This 858-nucleotide ribosomal RNA is filed under the name Cypha longicornis. RNAcentral's name for it is "bacterial SSU rRNA". It matches the Rfam family "Eukaryotic small subunit ribosomal RNA", at positions 455 to 1225 of the family's 1831-position model. The record is from RNAcentral. Lineage: Eukaryota; Metazoa; Arthropoda; Insecta; Coleoptera; Staphylinidae.
CACGGGGAGGUAGUGACGAAAAAUAACGAUACGGGACUCAUCCGAGGCCCCGUAAUCGGAAUGAGUACACUCUAAACCCUUUAACGAAAAACAAUUGGAGGGCAAGUCUGGUGCCAGCAGCCGCGGUAAUUCCAGCUCCAAUAGCGUAUAUUAAAGUUGUUGCGGUUAAAAAGCUCGUAGUCGAAUCUGUGUCCCGUGCCGCUGGUUCAUCGCUCGCGGUGUUUAACUGGCGUGUUCACGGGACGUCCUGCCGGUGGGCUCUUCGGUUCGAUUGCUCUUCGGGGUGACCGGCCGUGUGGCCCAACUCGCGUUUCGGCCUCGCGUCGAGCGUGAAUCCCAUCGCGGUGCUCUUUAUCGAGUGUCGAGGUGGGCCGGCACGUUUACUUUGAACAAAUUAGAGUGCUUAAAGCAGGCCUUGUAUCGCCUGAAUAUUGUGUGCAUGGAAUAAUGGAAUAGGACCUCGGUUCUAUUUUGUUGGUUUUCGGAACCCCGAGGUAAUGAUUAAUAGGAACGGAUGGGGGCAUUCGUAUUGCGACGUUAGAGGUGAAAUUCUUGGAUCGUCGCAAGACGGACAUAAGCGAAAGCAUUUGCCAAAAACGCUUUCAUUGAUCAAGAACGAAAGUUAGAGGUUCGAAGGCGAUCAGAUACCGCCCUAGUUCUAACCAUAAACGAUGCCAGCUAGCGAUCCGCCGAAGUUCCUUAUAUGACUCGGCGGGCAGCUUCCGGGAAACCAAAGCUUUUGGGUUCCGGGGGAAGUAUGGUUGCAAAGCUGAAACUUAAAGGAAUUGACGGAAGGGCACUACCAGGAGUGGAGCCUGCGGCUUAAUUUGACUCAACACGGGAAACCUCACCAGGCCC